RNAcentral lists this ribosomal RNA (301 nucleotides) under uncultured bacterium. Its description in RNAcentral is "partial 16S ribosomal RNA". It matches the Rfam family "Bacterial small subunit ribosomal RNA", at positions 509 to 809 of the family's 1533-position model. The record is from RNAcentral.
CAGUCGCCGCGGUAAUACGAAGGGGGCUAGCGUUGCUCGGAAUCACUGGGCGUAAAGGGUGCGUAGGCGGGUCUUUAAGUCAGGGGUGAAAUCCUGGAGCUCAACUCCAGAACUGCCUUUGAUACUGAAGAUCUUGAGUUCGGGAGAGGUGAGUGGAACUGCGAGUGUAGAGGUGAAAUUCGUAGAUAUUCGCAAGAACACCAGUGGCGAAGGCGGCUCACUGGCCCGAUACUGACGCUGAGGCACGAAAGCGUGGGGAGCAAACAGGAUUAGAUACCCCAGUAGUCCCUGUCUCUUAUAA